UACGUAGGGUGCAAGCGUUGUCCGGAAUUAUUGGGCGUAAAGAGCUCGUAGGCGGUUCGUCGCGUCGGCUGUGAAAACCUGAGGCUCAACCUCAGGCCUGCAGUCGAUACGGGCGGACUUGAGUACUGCAGGGGAGACUGGAAUUCCUGGUGUAGCGGUGAAAUGCGCAGAUAUCAGGAGGAACACCAAUUGCGAAGGCAGCUCGCCGGGACGUUACUGACGCUGAGACGCGAAAGCGUGGGGAGCAAACAGG
RNAcentral lists this ribosomal RNA (253 nucleotides) under uncultured bacterium. RNAcentral describes it as "partial 16S ribosomal RNA". It matches the Rfam family "Bacterial small subunit ribosomal RNA", at positions 524 to 776 of the family's 1533-position model. The record is from RNAcentral.